CGUUCCGUAUUACUGAACGGGUUUUAUUAUCGCCAAGGCAGAAAUUUGUCCGAAGUCGAGUUUUCGAAGUUUGGACAAAACUUUCCCGAGGACGUACGAAAGAAACGGUUUUAAAAAGCUUGUAAUGUGUAAAUAAUUUUGAUUGGAAGCAAGACAGUGAUUGUAUCUGUUACAGCGUGCCAUUAAACUACGAAUGAUGGAUAGCGAAUUGAUGCAUGCAGACUUUUGCAUUGAUACUGAAGAAUUCUUUGGAAGUGAACGGAAACAGUUGACAACUAACAGAAAGUGUAGACCUCCACUUCAAAUUCGUAAAACUGUAUCAUACGAUGUGCAGACAUGCGAGAUUCCACUGUUUUUCCGUCGCCAAGAGAGCACUGAAGACCACAAAGUUCCAACAUUGAACAACCUUCAACGUGUCUCGUCAUUUGACGACUUGUCUGAUGACAGCUUGGGUAAGAUACAUAACCUUUUG
Molecule: long non-coding RNA, 472 nt
Organism: Ruditapes philippinarum (Manila clam)
Lineage: Eukaryota; Metazoa; Mollusca; Bivalvia; Venerida; Veneridae
Exons: 3
Source: RefSeq, a predicted model, not a curated record